GCCGCUUUAGCUCAAUUGGGAGAGCGUUCGACUGAAGCCAGUCAUUGAUAUUAUCGAAAGGUCGCCCGUUCGAUCCGGGCAAGCGGCA
RNAcentral lists this transfer RNA (88 nucleotides) under Tulasnella sp. JGI-2019a. It matches the Rfam family "tRNA". Rfam says of the family: Transfer RNA (tRNA) molecules are approximately 80 nucleotides in length. Their secondary structure includes four short double-helical elements and three loops (D, anti-codon, and T loops). The record is from Rfam by way of RNAcentral. Lineage: Eukaryota; Fungi; Basidiomycota; Agaricomycetes; Cantharellales; Tulasnellaceae.